RNAcentral lists this long non-coding RNA (1566 nucleotides) under Mus musculus (house mouse). RNAcentral describes it as "long non-coding RNA chr12:116379213-116380779". Lineage: Eukaryota; Metazoa; Chordata; Mammalia; Rodentia; Muridae. The record is from RNAcentral.
AGAAUUGUUGAGAUCUUGCCUUCCUAGAGGUACAGUUCCGUUUCUCCAUUGUCAGAUCCAAUUUGAUGAGAUUUUAUUGGAUUCAAACUGGUGAUAUUUUGUUAGGAAGUUUUGCCUCUGUUCUUGAGAGCUAUUGUGUACUUGUUAUAAUAUCUCUACCUAGUUUUAGAAUUCCAGUGGGUGUCAUAGAAUGAGUUGGAAAGUAUAUGCUCUGUUUCUGUCCUCUGAAAGAAUUUUAGGGAAUAUGUGUAGUUCCUUCUUGGAAUAUUUGGUAGAAUAUGAUUGACACCUUGGUUAUGGACUGUUGAUUCAUUUUACUUAAUAGAUGCAAAGAUUUUAUAUUCCUAUAUAAAUUUUUACAGAUGAUGUCUUAAAAAUUGGCUUACUGUGUCAUAGGUUAUCACUAGUUUUUUUUUUUCUCUUUCAGGUUCAUAAGUUCAGUAGUGAUAUUUCCUCUUAACCUUCUGAUAUUAGCAAUUUGUGAUGCAUAACUUAGUCAUUUUGGCAAAAGACUAUAAAUUUUUUUAGAUCAAGAUAAUUCUGUUGCUUGAUUUCUUGUUUAUUUCACUAGUCUUUUAUGGCUUCAUUGUUUGGUUUCUGAUUGAGGUAAGGUAAAACGUGUGGUGCCAAUUGUACACCCGUCUGUUCUUGCAUAUGUGUUAAAGUUUGGGUAUAGGGCUGGAGAGAUGGCUCAGAGGUUGAAUGCACUCACUAUGCUUCCAAAGGUCCUGAGUUCAAUUCCCAGCAACCAUAUGGCAGCUCACAACCAUCUGUAAUGUGAUCUUGGCAACCUCUUCUGGAGUGUAGGCAGAACACUGUACAUAGUAAAUAAAUAAAUCUUUAAAGCUUGAGUGUAAAUAGUUAUAUUAAUUUAAUGUCACUGUGACCACAAUGCCUGACUUUUGGUGAGUAUUUGAAUGGUAUUUUUCCAUACAUUUAAUACCAGAACUCGUGAGAUAGAUAAAAUGACCCAACUAUCCUCAACAAUAUUUGUUAAAAAUAAGGUCCUGUUAAGUAAUAUAAAAUACUGUUAGAACACUGUGGCUGUUAAUGAUAGACCUUUAUUUUUAAGCACCAGCUUUAAUGUUAAUUUUUCAUUUAAAUAAGCUAAGGUGUUGGAGAGCCAGGCUCAUGUGAAUCCUUGCAGCUGGUAGACUCUUUACUGGACUGCCUGGAACAGGAGACUAUCAGCCCAACAACGAGCCAGGUGUAUGCUUUGAACACUCAUCAGAUGCUCUGAAGAAGCUGCGCUGCAACCAUAGCUGCUCUCUGCAGAAGCACAACUCCAGCUCUAGAAGAUACUAUUCCAUCCAUGACUGUGGCUUCUACUGGACCAACUUUAUGACCAUCAUAAGUCUCAGUGAAAUCCAGGCCACGGGAUCCCCUCCCCUGGUGGCACAUCCCAAAGCCUACGAAUGAUACUUACACAGUUCUCCACUUGUAUGAACUUGGCAUACUUUUCUUUUCCUGGUUCUAUAAUCAGACUGUUCAGUUCAUUUUUAAAGUAAGCUGGGGGAUAUCCUCUUGUGCUAUCUCUCACUGUUGCACAUUAAACCUAUUUACAGG